Molecule: long non-coding RNA, 211 nt
Filed under: Elaeis guineensis (African oil palm)
Lineage: Eukaryota; Viridiplantae; Streptophyta; Magnoliopsida; Arecales; Arecaceae
Description: long non-coding RNA (EGUI_LNC072000)
Source: RNAcentral
AGAAGGUUAGAAAGAAAAUAAUUUAAUAUUCAUUCACUUCAUCAAGUCAGAAUAUAUUAUAUCUUUAUAUAUAGGGCAAUGUGAUCCAAUCCAAAAACUCCCCUGACUAACUCAAUACAAGAUUGUGCUCACCCAAGUCUAUAUACACCCAUGAAUUGAUCAAAUCUCAUAAUUUUAGACUUAAUCCUAGUCCAAAGAUAAGUUAGCCCCU